This 1571-nucleotide long non-coding RNA is filed under the name Nicotiana benthamiana. Its description in RNAcentral is "long non-coding RNA (NBEN_LNC012039)". The record is from RNAcentral. Lineage: Eukaryota; Viridiplantae; Streptophyta; Magnoliopsida; Solanales; Solanaceae.
CGCCUGGCACAUACACUUUAACGCUUACAAUUUCUGAAAAACCAUCCCAAAUACCCGGAAUCCCAAGGGCAACUCAAGCUAAAAGAGUGGUAUAAUACGCUCUACACCAGAGAAUCUAAAGCCACAUAAUAGAAGGAAAAAGGGACUAUCUGCUACAGCUGGAAUGAAAUAGAGACUUCAGGUCUGCAGAUGUAACAGGUAUACCUCGAAUCUCCACUAGUGCUCUCUACUGCGAGGGUAAUACUCCUGAGAAGAAGUACAUGGGUCUGUACAUGGAAAACAUGAGCAGAAGAGGCGUGAGUACACCACAACAGUACUAAGUAAGUGUCAAGCCUAACCUCGAUCAGGUAGUGACGAGGAAGGUUGAGGCCCUACUGAGCUAAAACCAUAAUAAUCAGUAUGAUAAGGAAAGACAAAAUGGAUAUAAUCUACUGUGAGAAUCUAGUAAAUAAUAAAUAAGACAAUAACCGAGAAUUAACACAUUAAAUAAAUAGAAGUGCAAAUCACCACUGGAUAUUUAUCAUCGGGGAUCUCCUGGUGUCCCGAGGAUCUCCUGAUAUAUCCUCACCAUACAACCUAGGGAUCUCCUAGUAUCCCGAGGAUCUCCUAGUAUCCUCCAUUAUACACAAGGGAUAUCUUAGUAUCCCGAGGAACUCCUAGUAUCCUCCAUUAUACACAAGGGAUAUCUUAGUAUCCCGAGGAUCUCCUGGUAUCCUCCAUUUUUAUAAUCAUAUCUGUGCCGUGGAUCUCUUGGUAUCCCUCACUCUCAGUCAUAGAACGAAGCACAUAAAACAGAGUUAUCAAGAUGUCGUCCCCUAGUCCCAAAUCGUAACACCACACAAUUCAAAUAAGGUAAAAUGCUAAGUAAGAACAAUUAAUAGAAUUUCUAGUCUAGCAUGCUUCACGGAGGACAGAUAAUACAGUUUAAGCAAUUAAGCAAGUAAGUCACGUAAACAUCCUUAUCCUAAGCUAACACAUGUUAAAUUGUAUUUGAAAUAGGCAAAUUCGCAGGAAAACACGGUUAAAUAUUCUAAGUAAAAUAAAUUUUAAACAACUAGCACAAGUACACACUCGUCACCUCGCGUACCAGACAUUUAAAAUAACAAGUAAUGAAUCCUAAUGGGAGAAGUUCCCCACACAAAGUUGGACGAGCCACUUACCUCAAACCGGUGCAAAAUUAACUAAGGAACGAUGCUUUUGCCACAAGUAUCCGAUAAUUUCUAGCUAGCAUGUUUCACGGAGGACAGAUAAUACAAUUUAAGCAAUUAAGCAUUUAAGUCAGCUAAACAUGCUUAUCCUAAGCUAACACAGGAUAAAUUGCAUUUAAAAUAGGCAAAUCACAAGGAAACAGAGUUAAAUAUUCUAAGUAAAACGGAUUUUCAACAACUAGAACAAGUACAUGAUCGUCGCCUCGCAUACCGGCCAUUUAAAAUAACAAAUAACAUAUUCUAAGGGGAGAGGUCCCCACACAAAGUUAGACAAGCCACUUAUCUCGAACCGGUGCAAAAUCAACUAAGGAACGAUGCCUUUGCCACGAGUAUCCGACUUCGAAUGGCCCAAAUCUAUUCAAU